Quercus lobata is the source of this 566-nucleotide long non-coding RNA. RefSeq lists it as uncharacterized. The transcript has 2 exons. Lineage: Eukaryota; Viridiplantae; Streptophyta; Magnoliopsida; Fagales; Fagaceae. The record is from RefSeq and is a predicted model, not a curated record.
UUCAUAUCUCUCUCUCCAACUUUUCACUCCGCAGUCCUCUCCUCUGUUCUCUCUAAUUCUCAAAAUUUUCAAAAAAUCCUGAUGUUGCUGACUUGCUUUUGCCGCUACCACUCUCACGCCAAACCACCGUCAUCGCCACCAUGGCGCCACUUACCAGCCACCAUUUCUCUCCCCCAACGAUCUAUCAACCCCUGCUAUGCCUCUGUCGGCUCCACUGCCUAGCAUCUCCAAUCUGCACCGCCGGCCCAAUCACUUCCCAGAUGAUAGAGCAUAGAGCUCCAGCCAAGCUAUAUUGCCAGAAAAGGUUUUGAAGCAUUCCUUAUGGAUUGAUAUCUUGAUGCUAGCAAGACUAAUUUUCAGUGUCAUUAAAGUUUUAGACUUGAUAUGAAUGAACUUCUUUUUACUUCGAAACAUGUAAUGAGACAAAAAAGACUUGCUUGAGUUUUAUGUUGUAUCAUUCAAUUUUGACACUUGAGUGUCCCUGUUUAUGUAUACAAAAACCCUUACAAUGAUGUAUAGUACAAACCAAGAGAAUGUAAUAAAGUGCAAUUAUUCUUUUCUUGAUA